Catharus ustulatus (Swainson's thrush) is the source of this 6863-nucleotide long non-coding RNA. RefSeq lists it as uncharacterized. The record is from RefSeq and is a predicted model, not a curated record. NCBI's taxonomy places the organism in Eukaryota, Metazoa, Chordata, Aves, Passeriformes, Turdidae. The transcript is spliced from 7 exons.
CGUUGUCCCAAAUCUCCAGCGAAUAAAACAUUCCCCGAGUUUUUAAACGCUUCGGUUGAUGGUCUUGGUGUUGUUUUGCCUUUUCCUUUUGUUAAAUCUGUGGCUUAAUUUUUAUUUUUUUUUUUUUUCCUCUCCCCCUGGAGAGAUUCCCCCCCUGUACCCUCCGAAAAGGAUGGCAGAGGGGCUGGGGGUGGGGGCACUGGGAGAGUUUUCAUUGUGACUUCCCGAGAGUUGGUUCCUUUCCAGUUGUUCACAUCUCAGCAUGUGGAAUUAUUGUGCUUUCUCCCGAUUUGCCACAGAAUUGGCAGUAGCCUGACAUUGUUACUCAUUGGAAUUGUAUUUGGAGCCGGGCUGAUUUUUUUUUUUUUUUAAUUUUUUUUCUUUCUCUUUUGACUUAUUUAUUUUAAUCACCCGCAUUUUUUUUUUUUUUUUAAUUUCAUAACAACCCCUUUGAUUUUGCAAACAAUAUAUUUAACAGUCUGUAAAAUGGAGGAGAGGAGGAAAAAAAACCAAAAAACCACCAGGGUGAGAGGAUUGUGGCAAGCCUGUCCCUGAAUCCCAUAUUCCCCUCCCCGUGCAAUUUUUUUUUAGUUGCCUCCUGAAGAACCCCCUCCCUCCCCAUAGGAGGGAGUGGCCUUUUAGGGAUCAAGAACACGCUCCCGAGGAGCUGGGCCUAAGCAAUAUGGCAGCGCACGUUCCAUAGGAAACCUGCAGAGUGCUGCUGAGCUCUGUUCCCAAGGAGGGCACAAUCCCUGUGCUCCCUGCAGCCUGGAGCACUGCAGGGACUGAGCUUUGCCCACCCCAAAAUCCCAGCCCAGGAUUUUUGAAAGAUGCUGCAGCAGGAAUUUUGGCUGGUGGAAACUUUGGGAAAAGCUGGACUCUUUUAAGCCCCCGAGCAGCAAGCACGGUGUUAACAUUCCCCAAAAGCACCAUGGCAACCUCUCAGUGUUCUUGCCUUCGUGGUCAGCAAGCACAAGUCUCCAAAGUCAGAGCUGAGAGAAGAGCAGUGACUUCCAGGGGUGCUGUGCUCCAGCUUUGCAGGAAUUGCAGAAAUCCCAACCCAUGCAUCCUGAAAUCCCAGCCACACACCCAGAAAUCCCAGCCAUGCAUCCAGCAGUCAGGAAGGAAGUUGAAAGGACAAAGAGGAGGGGAGCAGAUGAGGGUGACAAAAAAAAUCUGGACCCUGCAGCUUCUUCCAAGCACUCACAACCCUCCAGGAAUGGGGUAAGUGUUGUCCUGAUGGGUCUGUAUUUUUACAGAAUAUUGAUUUUAUCAGUGAUUGGGUGUGGAAUUGGUCUGAAAAACUGUUUUUGGUUGUCAAGAGCACUGUUCUGGAAAUAUCCAAGUCAUGACAACUUUGCCCAGCUUUGCUUUCCACUCUGAAUUUUACCUUUCCUCACAUAAUUUAAAUUCUUCAUUUCUAUUAGUGAAUGCUUUUUACUCCCCUGAAGACAUUUUAAUAAUUUGGAAACUGCUCUCAUAUAUGCUAUCCUUACAGCUGAGCUGUAACCAUUAUUUUUAAAAUAUUUCUGAAAUUUUCUCUGUCCACUUCGCCCAGAGUGAAGUUAUUGACUGGUCUCAAAGAGGCCUCAAGGUUUUAGAGCUGAUGCUGAAGUCCCUAAAGCUGAACAUCCCUUCUUCCCCUUUGAAUUGCUAAUUCCAAUUGAUCUGAGGGGAAAAAAAAAGUUGUAAUAGUUUGUAUUUACUCUACUCUUUCCUUUAACAGCACCUACCAAGGUCUCUCCUUGCUUUGAGCCUGUCUCCAUGAGUAAAUUCAUUCUUCCUUUCUGUUUUCCAGCUUCUCUCUGCAAACUUUCUUUCAGUCCAUUUCUGCAAGAAUUUCCUGCAAACCAUGUCCCUGAGAGGAUUAGUGGAGGGGAUACCAAUUUUAUUUAUAUUUAUUUAGAAAUGGACUGCAGAGACUUGGCCCUUUUUUAAACAUGAGAACAAUUUUCAGGCCUCUUUCAGUUGUGGUUUUUUCACUCAAAAAAAAAAAAAAACCCAAAAACCCCAAACCCAGCAAACCACAGAACAAUAGAGAAAUAUGAGAAGUUGUGGAAACCCCUCAAACUUUCUCUGUUUAAUUUUUGAAUUCCUGGUGGUCACAGGGCCAGGUGAUGCUGCCAGUUGUGGGUUUUUUGUGUAGUGCCUGGCCCAGAGCAGCAAGUUGUGUUAAAUGCAAAGCUGGGAUCAAAUCAAACAGAAUGACACCUCUAUUUUUUAUUAUUUAUUUUAUUUUUGCCAGCCUGGAGGCCUUUAACAUUUUGGAAUUGGAGUGUUUGCAAAACAGGGUUGCUGGACUCCAGUAAAUGAAGUGUCUGGAUGUCAGUGGUGAUUCAUAAAAGCAAUUAAAAGAGGAAAGUGCUUUUCCUCUGAGCUGGCUUGGAGGAUGUCCUUAAGUGAGUGUGGAGUGCCAGGCAGUGUCAGGGGAUGGGGGCUCUUGUGUUCCAGGUCAUGGAUCCAGCAAACACUUCUUUAUCACCUGGUGCUGCUGAUUAAAACUAAAUUUAUUUUUAUUUUUUUUCAGUCCCAGGGGUGGGAAGGGAGCUCUGGAGAUCACCCAGAAGAACCCCCCUGGCCAGGCAGGGUCACCUGGGGCAGGGACACAUCCAGGUGGGGUUGGGAUGGCCCCACACAGGGAGAUCCCAAAACCUCCCUGGGCAGCUCAGGGCUCUGCCACCUCUUCCAAAGAACUUUAAUUUCUGGCCAUUGCUCCAUUUCCUGUCACCAAUGUGGCACCCUUCUCUGACACCUGCCUUGGGGAUGUUUGUAUGGUUUAACAACUGAAUCUUAUUUAGUUUCUAGUUCACUAUAGUUCUCAUUUCUUCCUUCUCUAAUUUGAGGACAAUCCCCCUGAGGAUGCAACGUUUUCCAUAGGAGAAAUGAGGUUGUGGCAACGUAAAUAUUGGCGGUGACGGAUAAGUGAAACUCUUCAAAUCUGACUUUUUUUUUUUCCCUGCCUAGUGCAACUCCCUGGCAUUUCUGACCUUCCUCAAACACAAACCAGCCCAUUUGUACAGCUGUAAAGCGAUUUUCCAGGUGCAAGGCUGAGCUUGGUUGGAGCACGAUGGAGGUGGUUGUUGUUGUACACAAGGAUCCAUCGGCACAGCCACGUUACCUGAGCCACCAGCAGAGCCUGGGGCAUCCCUACAAACUCUCUGCAUGGCUUUUCCAGCCUUCCCAACCAUCCUGGAGGCUUUUGGGGAUGGUUGUGGGGCUGUCCCAGAGCAGGCACUUCCAGUCUCGCUGCCUUCUCCAAGGGGAUUUCUCUCCCUUCUCCUGGAGCUUGCACAGAUUGGAGCUGUGCCUUCCGUGGGCUUUGCCCUUGGUUAUCCCAUGCUAAGGGAAGCAGAAGUUUACUGAUUUAUCAUGGAUCAUUAGGUGGAAGUAACUAUUCUUAAAACAUCAGGAUGGAUACAAUAAUUAGGGAUGUGCUUUUGUUAACACCGCCAGCCUCUACCCUCCUGUACAGUACCCUUGGGUACUAAAUAAUUACCCACUUUGUGUGGAUAUCUAGCUCACUAAUUACCCACAAAAAUUGGGGUCAGGUGUUAACUGCUUGAAAUAAGUAUCCUCCAAAGGCUUGCCUAAAGUGUAUAAAGAAAUUAUGUGUUUGCUACAAAACUUUGGGAAAAAAAAAAAGAAAAUCAAACAUUUUUUGGUUGGGGAGGAAGAUAAGGAGACAAUGGACGUGAAAUGCUCGGUGUGAUGGCAAAAUCUUGCAGUGGUGGUGAGGGACUCUAAAGGCAGUGAAAGGAUGGUUGGCAGAUACAGUCACUAAUCCAGACUACUUUUCCCAAAGAUUAGAUCCUUCAGUACACAGCGUUUGAUUCUUCCCCUAUCUAGGCUGAUGCCAAUCAGGAUUAUGUCGGUAUAAAUAAGAAAAUUUGUAUCCGUGGAUUCCCAGGCUGACUUUGCUGCAUAAUCCCACCUCUUCCAUCACCCAGAGACUUCUGCAUUGCACCCAAUAAUUUAAUUAUGGACUGCAUAUUUAUUUCCAUGUUCCUUUUAGCUCUGUGUGCAUGCAGGAUUUCAUUCUGAGGCUGCUGCUCAUAAAACGCAGUUUGCUUGGAGCAAUAAUUUGAUUCCUGUGCUCAGGGAGUUACCCCAGUGAGUCAAAGAUUUCUAGAUAGCCCCACCCUCCCCAACUUCCCGAACACUCACACUGCAGCCACUUUCUCUGUGCCAGACCCACACAAGCUGCCUAACCAGCCAAAAUCCCAAGGGGCGAUCCCAACCUCCUGCUUCCCCUGCUUCAGCCCCAGAAAAAUGGGAAAUAAAGCCAGGGCAGCCCGUGAAAAACCCAGCACGUGGAACAGGGGGAUGUUUAAGAGCCCUUCUUGCAUAGGUGCUUUCUGCCUUCCAUACAAAGGAAAUGGAUUUGAGAAGGUGUUUCUGAAAUCCUGGUGUCUUUGGAUGCCCCCACACCUUUAAUUCCUGAGCGUCUGUGCAGUGCUCAGCCUAACAAAGAAACUGCCUGCAUUUAUUGCUGUAUUUUGUCCUUCCUCUCCUCCAUAGCCAGAACCACCUUCUGCUCCUGGAAACACCUGGAUGCAGGUAUUAGCCAGCCCCAUGCCGUGUCUGGGCGGACGGGGGGGUCAGGACGAGGUGCGGGCUCGAUUUUGGGGCUACCUGCGCCCCGCAUUGUGCGGAGCAUCCCUGGCAAAGGCAGGGCUCAGCCUCCCGAGCACAAUGCAGAUUUAGUCGUCAUCUUUGUCUCUCCCCCCGCGCCCCCCCCGCCCCGCUCCCCGCUGAUGUUAACUGUCUGUAUUAUUAUUUAUUGUUAUCAGGGGAUUUGGUUUGAUCAAUGAAGUGUAUAUGCGUCUGACGGACAUUCGGGGAGGAAAUGCUUGGAGAAUGAGUAACAUGUCUGCAGUGGAGGGUGUGUGUGAGGCAGAGAGAGGGAGCAUCGGUACUCGAAACAUUGACUGAUGAGUUCAUUUUAAAAUCCAAGGGCAUAUAGCUGGUAAAUUAGCACAUAUUGCAAAUAUAGUCUGGUGCGAGAGGCAGCAGCGCUGCCAUUGAGCGCAGGGGUGGGUGUGGAGGGGAAGGGGGGGUCGAGGAGAGGAGGUUGUCAGCUCUAAAGUCAUCACGGGCAUGAGCCAGGCAGUCUGCCUGCCUCACUGCAGACGUGGGGCGUGCGAUUUCCACGGGCGGCUGCGGCGGGGGGGAGCGGGGGGCACCCGCGAGAGCGGAGCCAGCGCUGGCUUUUAUUGUUUUAAAACCCACAGGCAGGCGGAGCGAGGCGAGGCGAAGGGCUGCAGCCCCUCGGCUCCCCUCGCUGCUCGCCCUUCACCCCCCGAGGGAGGCGGAGGGGCUGCCCGGAGGGUCCCGGGGCUGGUACCCGGCGGGGAUGCGGCGGGGCCGGGGAUGCGCCGGGGAUGCGCCGGAGGCUUCUGCCGGCAGCUUAAGAGAUUAUUGGGAAGGGUGACCGGCAGUGGAGUGUGUGUGUGUGAGUGUGAGAGUGUGUGCGGGGCUGGCGGAGGGGGGAGCGGGUCCUUAUUCUGUUAAAGAUUUAAGUAGGCAUGCAAGGAAUCUCUAGGAUAGUUGGCAAAGGGCGAGGGUGGGGAGGGGGGGGAAGGAUCCAAAAGAGUCUGUAACCAGACACUGAAGCUUUCCAGGAGUGAGAGUGUGUGAGAGAGAAGGAGACAGAGCGAGAGGAAGAGAGGGGGCAGUGUGGUCUAGUACAUUUUCAUCUGGUCGUUGAUUUGAGCCUGAUGCUUGCUGUCCCUCAACAGCCUCCCUUGCCUGGAUUUUUUCUUUCCCCCUCUCCUCUCCUUUCCCUUCUAAUUCAUCGAAGCCUAGGGGAGCCAGGAAAGAUUAAAUGUGCUUUCGAAAAGGCAGCCACUUCAUGCAGCUAUGUCUGCUUCCCCCCCACACCCCCCAGCCACCCCCCCACUCCCCCUUUUUGAAAUAAAAAAAAAAAAAAAAAAAGAGAGGGGGAGACAGAGAGGGGGAGAAGGAAGGAGGAGGAAGAGGAGGACUAUAGUUUAAUGAUGUCGGGACUGGCUGAUCCAGAAGGAGGAAAAAAAAAAAAAAAGGAAAAAAAAAAAAAAAGAAAAUAUUUGAGCUCCUGGACGAGGAAGGACUUUGGUGAAUGGGCUCAGACUCCUGAGCUCUUCCCACACUGCAGUCAAUGAAUCUCUAAUCUCCUGGACUGAAAUGUCUGACACUUGCAGAAUCAUUGAUUUGCUGCCUCGACUCGCAGAGCUCCACCUCCAGCAGCGUCUCAGCAGUGUCUGGUGGUACCUGAUGGAAAUGUCUGUUCUUCCAGGGGUGGGAGGGAUGGAAGGAUGAGCACAGGCUCUGCUGUGCUGUGUGCACCCUUUACAACGAGGGGCAUCUCCAGCAGCAGGAUCUGAGGGACAGGGAGUGGAUAACUCUGCGUUCAUCCCAUGCCAAACACCAGCCCUGGUGCUCUCUGCUGUUUCAUCCCUCUGCAAGGGGGGCAGAAGGGCAAAGAGGAGAAGCUCAGCUCAUGAGAGAAGGCUCCAAACUGCUCCCUGUGGCUACCCCAAGAUGCUGAGCUUGCCCUGGGAGCUUGGCUGGUGCUCCCAGGCCAUCACACACUUCUCACUUCACUGCCCUGCUGGUGGCUUCGCCUGUGGGAUGAAUUAUGCAAGAAUUGUGUGUGUGAAGCAUCAGAAAUGCUGAGGUUGGAGAAGAGGCCUCUCAGUGUAUGAACUUGCUUGUGGAUAAAGUCACACUCACCUGGAUUGCUCCAGAAAAGGACACGAGGUGUGGGAAGGAUCCCACAUUAAUCAGAGGACUUUGGUUGUGCUUUGGUGUGCUUGUAUCAUGUCUGAACGUGCAAAGAACUUGGUUUUCCACAUGGAUCCAGUAAAUGGCACCUCUGUAAAUCA